Non-coding RNA from Aegilops tauschii subsp. strangulata, 2958 nucleotides. The record is from RefSeq and is a predicted model, not a curated record. NCBI's taxonomy places the organism in Eukaryota, Viridiplantae, Streptophyta, Magnoliopsida, Poales, Poaceae.
UCGCUACCACGCGUGAGAACACGAGGGUUCCGCCGCCGCCGCCACAGCACCCACAUCCAUCCUCUCCGUGGUGCACGUCCUCCCUCCGCUGUCGUCGAAUCCGGUCGAGAUCGGCAGGAUUCGCCGCAUCUCGCGCGACGCCCAUCCCAUGCACCCAGCCCACGCCAACGACAGCUGCCCAGCACCCUCGAUGGCGCGCGCCUCCAGCAUCCUAAGCAUCAGCGGCCACCUCCCUGGGAGAGCUCCUCCUACCUCCGGCGGAGGCGCAUGAGCCGAGCCCGGCCAUCAAACGCCCGUGGCCGUGGCCAACAGCAACCUCCAGGCCACGUCAGCGUUCGGUGGCCAACUCUUGAUGAAUUUCCAAUGUGCCUCCAUCCUUCCUUUUUCUCCGGGAAUCUACUCCAAUGAGUGAAUCAUAGCCACCAAUAAGCAGGCACCCAGUGAAGAUGUCACACUUUGAUGCGAAAUGCCUGAUAUCACAUUCAUCACUAGGAAGGGUCAAGAUGUACCGCAUCAAAGGCAUCGGCAGUGCUACAAGAGUUGAAGAAAGAAGAGUAUUUGGUGUUGUUACUACUAUCUGUGAAGUGUCAAAGCUGCCGAAGAAGACAUGCCACAAUUUCUCUUUGUGUUCUGAUGCCGAUAAAUAAACCCAAGAGUGAGAAAGAUGUUAGCGAAUAGAUAAAAAUAGCUAACCGGACUGAUGUCAGAAAACUAUUAUGGUAACAAUAAACUAUACUAUGUUUUAGGGAACUAUAUAACAAAGUCGUUUACUGUGGUAGAAAAAAGUAGUACAGUCAAUCUUGUGCCUUUACAACCAAGAAACAGGGGAUAUGGUGUGCAAAAAAUAGCACAUGAUGAAAGCACAGACUUCAAAUGAAUGCUCAUGUCUUCUUUCUAUAAAAACAACUCUUAUCAUAUUGUGAUUGAUUACAAGAACUGCACUUAAUUGAUUUGUUUUCUGUUAGGCAGAAAAUAUGUUGUUGUGGGGAUUCUAAAAAGCUUGAGGUGGUACUGACCGGGAAGCAGUUUAUGGAGUUAUUCGAGGUAUCAUCUUUUUGAUAUAGAGCUGACAUUCCGAUUGUGUACUACAAACUUGAACUGACAUGCAGGCAACUUCAUUUCAAGCAUCGGGUUGACUUGAGGCCUGACACCAGUGAGGUAAGAGAGGACAGUUCAUCGCGGUGGCCGUUGACAACGGCCAGGACGCCAGGUUGCCCGUCUACCAUCUUCUCCAGCCUGCUUCAUAUGUUGUCCUUCUCCCCCUCUGCUUUUUUUAGUAUGUCUCUCACCUCCGUUUCUUUCUCUUUACAGAAAAAACUAGCACGUCUCUCUCCCUCGUGUGAGUGUUGAAUGAGUCGUGUGAAAUUUUCGUGUAACAUUUCUAUGCCCAAUACAUGCCAGGGCGUCGUCGCCACUCUGUGCCUGCCGCAACGUCAGCCCUCCCAUUUUUGCACUGUCGCCACCACCGACGCGCUAGCCCGUGCAGCCACCUCAAGGGUCCUCCACCACCCAUGCCAUGUCCCAUGUGUGACGCGAGAUCUGCCUCAUCGGGCAAGGACACCAGAACCUUGGCUGCCAUCUCACACGCGUCGGCGUGCACCUCGGUGUGCGAUGAGAAUGAUGCAUGUUCCCAAUGGGACAUCUUUCUUCAGCAAAUUUUAUGUUCUUACAAGGAUAGUUUACAAGAUCGUGGUAUUAUCGUUACAGCUACCGGUGACAUGGUUUUCAGUAGCCAUGGCGACAUCAGGUGAUCCUUAUGAGCAGAAUCAUCAUGGCAAACAAACGGGUCAAUAGAAUUCAUAAAGUUGCAGUUCAUUUGCUCCAUUCAAAUAAUGCUUUCAGUUUCAAUGAAAAUUGUUAACUAGACUCCCAUGAUUGCGGUGGUGUAGUAUUCUGCAAAAAGUAGCUUUUGUGGCCUUUUAAUGUUUUCAUUCACAUCCAUGGUCAUAUUGCCUGACAAGAUGCGAGUUAUCAGCCACUUAGUUCUCAUCUUUAUUUCCAUCACACUUGGACAAUUAGUUAGCUCUGUUGCAUCAUGCUUCUGGAUAAUGAAUAAAAUGAUGUACCGCUUUGAUUACUUCUUCAUCAACCUAUGUUCCACUCAACAUUCCUCUUUUGGAUUACUUCUUCACCAACUUAUGCUCCGCUCGCUUUAAAAAAAACUUAUGCUCCACUCUACAUUUAUAUCAUGGAAAAAUAGUUGUCUAUAGUGACCUUGUAUAUAGUUGUUUCGGCGGGCAUGGUGUUUGCAUUUUUCUCUUAUUUACCCAUUGCAACGCAUGCGCCCUUUUGCUAGUAACUUCAACUCCUGGAACAUCUCAUAUGCUCCAUGACACUCAAAACGACGUUGAAGUCCCGGUUCUAAGCCGUAAAGCAUGGCACACUGAACUAUCGAGUAGUCGGAUACGUCUCCAACGUAUCUAUAAUUUAUGAAGUAUUUAUGCCAUGUUUACAAUAGUUUUAUAUGAUUUUGGUAUGAUUUGAUUAGAACUAACCCGGAUUGACGUUGUUUUCAGCAGAACUACCAUGGUGUUGUUUUUGUGUAGAAAUAAAAGUUCUCGGAAUGCGAUGAAAAUCAACGGAGAAUUUUCUGGAAAAUAUAAAAAAUACUGGAACGAAGAGUUACCGGAGGGGAGGCCCGUGGGCCCCACGAGGGUGGAGGGUGCGCCCCUGUGCCUAGUGGACUCCCCGUGGGGCCCCUGUACAAAUUAUUUAAAUUUUCAUAUUUGUUUAGAACUUUUUGGAGUUGCAGAAGUUUACUAAACUUCCAGAUUACUACAGACUGUCCUGAUUUUGACAGAUUCUGUUUUCUAUGUGUUGUUCGCUUAUUUUGAUGAAUCUAUGGGUAGUAUCGGGGGGUAUGAACCAUGGUGAAGUUGGAAUACAUUAGAUAUAGUUCUAAUAUGAAAUUGGAAUAAGUUUGCAACAUUACCUAAAGGUAGUGAUUUGCUUUAUUAU